GGGGUUAUAGCUCAGUGGUAGAGCACUUGCCUCACAAAUAUGACGCACUGGAUUCAAUCCUUAGCACCA
RNAcentral lists this transfer RNA (69 nucleotides) under Ictidomys tridecemlineatus (thirteen-lined ground squirrel). RNAcentral describes it as "Spermophilus tridecemlineatus (thirteen-lined ground squirrel) tRNA". It matches the Rfam family "tRNA". From Rfam's summary of the family: Transfer RNA (tRNA) molecules are approximately 80 nucleotides in length. Their secondary structure includes four short double-helical elements and three loops (D, anti-codon, and T loops). Further hydrogen bonds mediate the characteristic L-shaped molecular structure. tRNAs have two regions of fundamental functional importance: the anti-codon, which is responsible for specific mRNA codon recognition, and the 3' end, to which the tRNAs corresponding amino acid is attached (by aminoacyl-tRNA synthetases). tRNAs cope with the degeneracy of the genetic code in two manners: having more than one tRNA (with a specific anti-codon) for a particular amino acid; and 'wobble' base-pairing, i.e. permitting non-standard base-pairing at the 3rd anti-codon position. Lineage: Eukaryota; Metazoa; Chordata; Mammalia; Rodentia; Sciuridae. The record is from Rfam by way of RNAcentral.